RNAcentral lists this transfer RNA (72 nucleotides) under Pangasianodon hypophthalmus (striped catfish). Its description in RNAcentral is "tRNA-Lys". The record is from RNAcentral. Lineage: Eukaryota; Metazoa; Chordata; Actinopteri; Siluriformes; Pangasiidae.
UCCCUGGAGGACUAGUGUUUAGGCUGUAGCACACUUACCGCUGCGGCCCGGGUUCGAUUCCCGGCCACGGAA